This 224-nucleotide long non-coding RNA is filed under the name Capsicum annuum. RNAcentral describes it as "long non-coding RNA (CANN_LNC013246)". The record is from RNAcentral. Lineage: Eukaryota; Viridiplantae; Streptophyta; Magnoliopsida; Solanales; Solanaceae.
CAAAGAACGUUAACACGAAGACGUACUCAAAAACUGGUUCACAACUUAGUAGGUUGUUACUUAGUUGCCAACUAGUGUAGAAGUCUAUAGAAAAAAAACUAGUAGAGACAAGGAAAGAAACUUGGAAGGUCCUAUGACUUGAGUUUGUUGUUGAUGUGGCCUAUAAUUUUUAUUUUGGUCGUUUGGUGUUGUUGUUUUUGUUUAAGUUUGAUGUUGUCCCCCUU